GGCGCGGACUUUGUAAACACUUCGCCCCUGCAGGGGUGGAGACUGGCUGUGUUCGGAUGCCGGGGGGGAGAGGUGCAAUCCUCUCCUCGAGGCUGGUGGUUGCGACCACCCCCACUCCCCAAAGGCAGGCUCCAGAGGCGGCGGGACAGAGCUCCUGCGACCCCAGUCGGUGCUCCGGGGAGCUCACCUGCCGAGGAGUUAUUCUUACAGAUUCGAGAAUCACUUUUGAAAGCCUUCAUUGGAUCCUUGUGAAAUGACCGAUUGACUGCUUGGAUGAACUCCUGAAGUGUUUCUAUGGAGGACAGACCAAGAGGAAACUUAAUAUUUCCUCCCAAUUUUCCUGUGAAACUAAAACUGCGCUAAAAAACAGUCUAUUUAGAAAAACAGAAGAAGAAGAUAGUUGCCUAUAGAGGAACUAAAGAAUGUUGUGG
Molecule: small RNA, 431 nt
Filed under: Pongo abelii (Sumatran orangutan)
Lineage: Eukaryota; Metazoa; Chordata; Mammalia; Primates; Hominidae
Description: processed transcript
Source: RNAcentral